UGGGGAAUAUUGGACAAUGGGCGCAAGCCUGAUCCAGCCAUGCCGCGUGUGUGAAGAAGGCCUUUUGGUUGUAAAGCACUUUAAGCGAGGAGGAGGCUACUUGGAUUAAUACUCUAGGAUAGUGGACGUUACUCGCAGAAUAAGCACCGGCUAACUCUGUGGCAGCAGCCGCGGUAAUACAGAGGGUGCGAGCGUUAAUCGGAUUUACUGGGCGUAAAGCGUGCGUAGGCGGCUUCUUAAGUCGGAUGUGAAAUCCCUGAGCUUAACUUAGGAAUUGCAUUCGAUACUGGGAAGCUAGAGUAUGGGAGAGGAUGGUAGAAUUCCAGGUGUAGCGGUGAAAUGCGUAGAGAUCUGGAGGAAUACCGAUGGCGAAGGCAGCCAUCUGGCCUAAUACUGACGCUGAGGUACGAAAGCAUGGGGAGCAAACAGG
Molecule: ribosomal RNA, 430 nt
Filed under: bacterium
Lineage: Bacteria
Description: partial 16S ribosomal RNA
Rfam family: Bacterial small subunit ribosomal RNA
Source: RNAcentral